CCUACGGGAGACAGCAGUGAGGAAUAUUGGUCAAUGGACGAGAGUCUGAACCAGCCAAGUAGCGUGAAGGAUGACUGCCCUAUGGGUUGUAAACUUCUUUUAUAUGGGAAUAAAAUGUUCCACGUGUGGGAUUUUGUAUGUACCAUAUGAAUAAGGAUCGGCUAACUCCGUGCCAGCAGCCGCGGUAAUACGGAGGAUCCGAGCGUUAUCCGGAUUUAUUGGGUUUAAAGGGAGCGUAGGUGGAUUGGUAAGUCAGUUGUGAAAGUUUGCGGCUCAACCGUAAAAUUGCAGUUGAAACUGGCAGUCUUGAGUACAGUAGAGGUGAGCGGAAUUCGUGGUGUAGCGGUGAAAUGCUUAGAUAUCACGAAGAACUCCGAUUGCGAAGGCAGUUCACUGGACUGCAACUGACACUGAGGCUCGAAAGUGUGGGUAUCAAACAGGAUUAGAUACCCGAGUAGUC
This 460-nucleotide ribosomal RNA is filed under the name uncultured bacterium. RNAcentral describes it as "partial 16S ribosomal RNA". It matches the Rfam family "Bacterial small subunit ribosomal RNA", at positions 338 to 795 of the family's 1533-position model. The record is from RNAcentral.